UGGGGGAAUAUUGCGGCAAUGGGGGGAAACCCUGACGCAGCAACGCCGCGUGAUCGAAGAAGGUCUUCGGAUUGUAAAGAUCUUUUAUCAGGGACGAAGAAAGUGACGGUACCUGAUGAAUAAGCUCCGGCUAACUACGUGCCAGCAGCCGCGGUAAUACGUAGGGAGCGAGCGUUAUCCGGAUUUACUGGGUGUAAAGGGCGAGUAGGCGGGCUGGUAAGUUGGAAGUGAAAUGUCGGGGCUUAACCCCGUGACUGCUUUGGAAACUGUGUAGCUUGAGUGCCGGAGGGGCAAGCGGAAUUCCUAGUGUAGCGGUGAAAUGCGUAGAUAUUAGGAGGAACACCAGUGGCGAAGGCGGCUUACUGGACGGUAACUGACGUUGAGGCUCGAAAGCGUGGGGAGCAAACAGGAUUAGAUACCCUGGUAGU
RNAcentral lists this ribosomal RNA (428 nucleotides) under uncultured Blautia sp. Its description in RNAcentral is "bacterial SSU rRNA". It matches the Rfam family "Bacterial small subunit ribosomal RNA", at positions 354 to 794 of the family's 1533-position model. The record is from RNAcentral. Lineage: Bacteria; Bacillati; Bacillota; Clostridia; Lachnospirales; Lachnospiraceae.